This 254-nucleotide ribosomal RNA is filed under the name uncultured bacterium. RNAcentral's name for it is "partial 16S ribosomal RNA". It matches the Rfam family "Bacterial small subunit ribosomal RNA", at positions 524 to 776 of the family's 1533-position model. The record is from RNAcentral.
UACGUAGGGGGCGAGCGUUGUCCGGAUUUAUUGGGCGUAAAGAGCUCGUAGGUGGUUUGGUAAGUCGGAUGUGAAAUCUCCAGGCUCAACCUGGAGGGGUCAUUCGAUACUGCCAUGACUAGAGUUCGGUAGGGGAGUGUGGAAUUCCUGGUGGAGCGGUGAAAUGCGCAGAUAUCAGGAGGAACACCUGUGGCGAAAGCGGCGCACUGGACCACAACUGACGCUGAGGCGCGAAAGCUAGGGGAGCAAACAGG